RNAcentral lists this ribosomal RNA (266 nucleotides) under uncultured bacterium. RNAcentral's name for it is "partial 16S ribosomal RNA". It matches the Rfam family "Bacterial small subunit ribosomal RNA", at positions 793 to 1055 of the family's 1533-position model. The record is from RNAcentral.
GUCCACGCCGUAAACGAUGAGUGCUAGAUGUCGUGGGUAUUGACCCCCGCGGCGUCGUAGCUAACGCGUUAAGCACUCCGCCUGGGGAGUACGGCCGCAAGGCUAAAACUCAAAGGAAUUGACGGGGGCCCCGCACAAGCGGUGGAGCAUGUGGUUCAAUUCGACGCAACGCGCAGAACCUUACCUGGGUUAAAUCCACCAGAACCUUGCAGAGAUGUAGGGGUGCCCUUCGGGGAAUUGGUGAGAAGGUGCUGCAUGGCUGUCGU